This is a long non-coding RNA of Acipenser ruthenus (sterlet), 457 nucleotides long. RefSeq lists it as uncharacterized. The record is from RefSeq and is a predicted model, not a curated record. Lineage: Eukaryota; Metazoa; Chordata; Actinopteri; Acipenseriformes; Acipenseridae. The transcript is spliced from 3 exons.
GACAGAGCGCGCCUGCGCUAACGAUUGAGCCGCGGGUUUCUAAUCGAGGAGAAAGCUGGAGAAAUACAGUAAAGAAACACACAAGGGAAGCCAAUUGUACAGAAGUUUCUAUCAAACUUGGGGAUUGUCUGCCGGCUGCAUAUGGCGUCCAUAUCUGCAGAUGCGGUGGAGGGAUAUACAGCUAUAACUUCUUUGAUAGAAAAGCUUAUGACAGAAACAAAUACACUUGCAAAAUACCAGAAACACACGGUGCAACACAAUGCAGCCUUGAGCCAGCUUACCAAGUCUUUUAAUCAGGCUCAGGCAAGACUGGAGAAAGUAGCAGCAGUGAAAUGUGGCAGUGAGCUUUUAAACCAAUAAUCCUUUGGAAUGCAGUGAAUACAUUUGUAUCAGGAAUAACCAUUCUGACUUCAGUGUAAAUGCAUAUUUUGUUAAUAAAUUAAGCAAUUUCAAUGUU